Molecule: ribosomal RNA, 425 nt
Filed under: uncultured bacterium
Lineage: Bacteria
Description: partial 16S ribosomal RNA
Rfam family: Bacterial small subunit ribosomal RNA
Source: RNAcentral
GUUAGGAAUAUUGGACAAUGGGCGAAAGCCUGAUCCAGCCAUGCCGCGUGAACGAUGAAGGCCUUCGGGUUGUAAAGCUCUUUAGUCCACGAAUAUAAUGACUGUAGUGGAAGAAUAAGCCCCGGCUAACUUCGUGCCAGCAGCCGCGGUAAUACGAAGGGGGCGAGCGUUAUUCGGAAUCACUGGGCGUAAUGCGUGCGUAGGCUGUUUUGUAAGUCAGAAGUGAAAGCCCAGGGCUUAACCCUGGAAUUGCUUUUGAAACUACAAGACUCGAAUUCGGGAGAGGAUAGCGGAAUUGUCAGUGUAGCAGUGAAAUGCGUAGAUAUUGACAGGAACACCAGUGGCGCAAGCGGCUAUCUGGACCGAUAUUGACGCUGAGGCACGAAAGCGUGGGGAGCAAACAGGAUUAGAAACCCGUGUAGUCC